Long non-coding RNA from Chelonia mydas (Green sea turtle), 972 nucleotides. RefSeq lists it as uncharacterized. Lineage: Eukaryota; Metazoa; Chordata; Testudines; Cheloniidae. The record is from RefSeq and is a predicted model, not a curated record. The transcript has 2 exons.
UCUCCAGAUGCCUGGACUGUACUGCAGAAAUUUUGUUACUCACUCUUCACCACAGUACUCUUCCUGCAUUGCAAUCCAGGAGCAGUACACCAGACCCUACAACUGAUUUAAGUUACUCAUUGUUGAUCCAUCAAUUUCAUCAGGAGUUUGGAAGAUGCAAGAAGGGCCAUACAACAAUGUGAAAUAUAUCUGGCAUUUGUACAGUGUCUUUCUUCUGAGGGUCUCAAAGCACUUUGCAAAAAGAGGGUCUGGAUCUAGCACUCAUGAUCCAUGAUCUUCAAUGGGUGCUGAAUUAGGCCCUAAACCAAGUAACUCUGUAAUACAGGAAUUAUGUCCCUUUUACAGGAAAGGAACCAGGCACAAUUUUUCCAAGAGUAGCUGCGGCAGUCUGUACCCUAUUUUUCCCCCCCUCUUAUAAUGCGAUGAAAUUUUGUACAAAGUAUGCCUCGUGAGAGAUCGUUUGAAAACUCACAAUUUGCUGAUCAUUAUUGUUCUGGUAAAAUGUGUGUGGCAACAUUGUAUGCAAAAUUAUAAGAUUCUACUAUAUAAUACUUCUGAGACAUGUUCCAAGUCUGCAAGAAUAGCCACAAACUAGUUCCUCAGAAACAAAAGGUAAACCAACGUCUCAGCCAGGUGUCAACAAUAUUAAAUGGACAAUCAGCUGGUCAAGUGGCUAUUAUUUGGCAGGAAAAGGUGUGAGCAAGAAAUUUAUAUCUUGGCAAAAAACAGCUGGAGGUUCUGUAUCCACAGGUGGUAUCAACACACUGAACUGGAGGAGGUGUCCUGGUCGAAAGGAAUCCAGCCAGUAUGACUGCUGAAGCAUGUGGUGAGAGACCUCUUCUUUGAAUUCAUUUAGCUUAAGUUAGAUAUUAGUUACACUUUACCUUUUUCCUUGUAACCAGUUCUUACUUUUAUGCCUCAUUACUUGUAAUCGCUUAAAAUCUUUGUCAUUAAUAAAGUUGGUUUAUUGGA